This 1063-nucleotide ribosomal RNA is filed under the name uncultured Gammaproteobacteria bacterium. Its description in RNAcentral is "bacterial SSU rRNA". It matches the Rfam family "Bacterial small subunit ribosomal RNA", at positions 10 to 1064 of the family's 1533-position model. The record is from RNAcentral. Lineage: Bacteria; Pseudomonadati; Pseudomonadota; Gammaproteobacteria.
AGUUUGAUCCUGGCUCAGAUUGAACGCUGGCGGCAGGCUUAACACAUGCAAGUCGAGCGGUAACAUUCCUAGCUUGCUAGGAGAUGACGAGCGGCGGACGGGUGAGUAAUGCUUGGGAAUAUGCCUUAUGGUGGGGGACAACAGUUGGAAACGACUGCUAAUACCGCAUAACGUCUACGGACCAAAGGGGGGGAUCUUCGGACCUCUCGCCAUUUGAUUAGCCCAAGUGAGAUUAGCUAGUUGGUAAAGUAAUGGCUUACCAAGGCGACGAUCUCUAGCUGGUUUGAGAGGAUGAUCAGCCACACUGGGACUGAGACACGGCCCAGACUCCUACGGGAGGCAGCAGUGGGGAAUAUUGCACAAUGGGCGAAAGCCUGAUGCAGCCAUGCCGCGUGUGUGAAGAAGGCCUUCGGGUUGUAAAGCACUUUCAGUUGUGAGGAAAGGGAUGUAGUUAAUAGCUGCAUUCUGUGACGUUAACAACAGAAGAAGCACCGGCUAACUUCGUGCCAGCAGCCGCGGUAAUACGAGGGGUGCAAGCGUUAAUCGGAAUUACUGGGCGUAAAGCGUUCGUAGGCGGUUUAUUAAGCAAGAUGUGAAAGCCCAGGGCUCAACCUUGGAACUGCAUUUUGAACUGGUAGACUAGAGUACUGUAGAGGGUGGUGGAAUUUCCAGUGUAGCGGUGAAAUGCGUAGAGAUUGGAAGGAACAUCAGUGGCGAAGGCGGCCACCUGGACAGAUACUGACGCUGAGGAACGAAAGCGUGGGGAGCGAACAGGAUUAGAUACCCUGGUAGUCCACGCCGUAAACGAUGUCAACUAGCCGUUUGUGUCCUUGAGACGUGAGUGGCGCAGCUAACGCACUAAGUUGACCGCCUGGGGAGUACGGCCGCAAGGUUAAAACUCAAAUGAAUUGACGGGGGCCCGCACAAGCGGUGGAGCAUGUGGUUUAAUUCGAUGCAACGCGAAGAACCUUACCUGGUCUUGACAUGUAGCGAAGGUUUUAGAGAUAGAACUGUGCCUUCGGGAACGCUAACACAGGUGCUGCAUGGCUGUCGUCAGCUCGUG